This 230-nucleotide ribosomal RNA is filed under the name uncultured bacterium. RNAcentral's name for it is "partial 16S ribosomal RNA". It matches the Rfam family "Bacterial small subunit ribosomal RNA", at positions 562 to 791 of the family's 1533-position model. The record is from RNAcentral.
AAAGCGUGCGCAGGCGGUUUUGUAAGUCAGAUGUGAAAUCCCCGAGCUCAACUUGGGAACUGCGUUUGAAACUACAAGACUAGAAUAUGUCAGAGGGGGGUAGAAUUCCACGUGUAGCAGUGAAAUGCGUAGAGAUGUGGAGGAAUACCAAUGGCGAAGGCAGCCCCCUGGGAUAAUAUUGACGCUCAUGCACGAAAGCGUGGGGAGCAAACAGGAUUAGAUACCCGAGU